This 460-nucleotide ribosomal RNA is filed under the name uncultured bacterium. Its description in RNAcentral is "partial 16S ribosomal RNA". It matches the Rfam family "Bacterial small subunit ribosomal RNA", at positions 338 to 795 of the family's 1533-position model. The record is from RNAcentral.
CCUACGGGAGGCAGCAGUGAGGAAUAUUGGUCAAUGGACGAGAGUCUGAACCAGCCAAGUAGCGUGAAGGAUGACUGCCCUAUGGGUUGUAAACUUCUUUUAUAAAGGAAUAAAACGAGGCACGUGUGCCUUUUUGCAUGUACUUUAUGAAUAAGGAUCGGCUAACUCCGUACCAGCAGCCGCGGUAAUAUGGAGGAUCCGAGCGUUAUCCGGAUUUAUUGGGUUUAAAGGGAGCGUAGAUGGGUUGUUAAGUCAGUUGUGAAAGUUUGCGGCUCAACCGUAAAAUUGCAAUUGAUACUGGCAGUCUUGAGUACAGUUGAGGUAGGCGGAAUUCGUGGUGUAGCGGUGAAAUGCUUAGAUAUCACGAAGAACCCCGAUUGCGAAGGCAGCUUACUAAACUGUGACUGACAUUGAUGCUCGAAAGUGUGGGGAUCAAACAGGAUUAGAUACCCGUGUAGUC